CCAAACCGACACAGGUGGUCAGGUAGAGAAUACCAAGGCGCUUGAGAGAACUCGGGUGAAGGAACUAGGCAAAAUGGUGCCGUAACUUCGGGAGAAGGCACGCUGACACGUAGGUGAAGUGAUUUACUCAUGGAGCUGAAGUCAGUCGAAGAUACCAGCUGGCUGCAACUGUUUAUUAAAAACACAGCACUGUGCAAACACGAAAGUGGACGUAUACGGUGUGACGCCUGCCCGGUGCCGGAAGGUUAAUUGAUGGGGUCAGCGUAAGCGAAGCUCCUGAUCGAAGCCCCGGUAAACGGCGGCCGUAACUAUAACGGUCCUAAGGUAGCGAAAUUCCUUGUCGGGUAAGUUCCGACCUGCACGAAUGGCGUAAUGAUGGCCAGGCUGUCUCCACCCGAGACUCAGUGAAAUUGAACUCGCUGUGAAGAUGCAGUGUACCCGCGGCAAGACGGAAAGACCCCGUGAACCUUUACUAUAGCUUGACACUGAACAUUGAGCCUUGAUGUGUAGGAUAGGUGGGAGGCUUUGAAGUGUGGACGCCAGUCUGCAUGGAGCCGACCUUGAAAUACCACCCUUUAAUGUUUGAUGUUCUAACGUGGACCCGUAAUCCGGGUUGCGGACAGUGUCUGGUGGGUAGUUUGACUGGGGCGGUCUCCUCCUAAAGAGUAACGGAGGAGCACGAAGGUUGGCUAAUCCUGGUCGGACAUCAGGAGGUUAGUGCAAUGGCAUAAGCCAGCUUGACUGCGAGCGUGACGGCGCGAGCAGGUGCGAAAGCAGGUCAUAGUGAUCCGGUGGUUCUGAAUGGAAGGGCCAUCGCUCAACGGAUAAAAGGUACUCCGGGGAUAACAGGCUGAUACCGCCCAAGAGUUCAUAUCGACGGCGGUGUUUGGCACCUCGAUGUCGGCUCAUCACAUCCUGGGGCUGAAGUAGGUCCCAAGGGUAUGGCUGUUCGCCAUUUAAAGUGGUACGCGAGCUGGGUUUAGAACGUCGUGAGACAGUUCGGUCCCUAUCUGCCGUGGGCGCUGGAGAACUGAGGGGGGCUGCUCCUAGUACGAGAGGACCGGAGUGGACGCAUCACUGGUGUUCGGGUUGUCAUGCCAAUGGCACUGCCCGGUAGCUAAAUGCGGAAGAGAUAAGUGCUGAAAGCAUCUAAGCACGAAACUUGCCCCGAGAUGAGUUCUCCCUGAGACUUAGAGUCUCCUGAAGGAACGUUGAAGACGACGACGUUGAUAGGCCGGGUGUGUAAGCGCAGCGAUGCGUUGAGCUAACCGGUACUAAUGAACCGUGAGGCUUAACCUU
RNAcentral lists this ribosomal RNA (1299 nucleotides) under Salmonella enterica. RNAcentral describes it as "partial 23S ribosomal RNA". It matches the Rfam family "Bacterial large subunit ribosomal RNA", at positions 1649 to 2925 of the family's 2925-position model. The record is from RNAcentral. Lineage: Bacteria; Pseudomonadati; Pseudomonadota; Gammaproteobacteria; Enterobacterales; Enterobacteriaceae.